Molecule: ribosomal RNA, 610 nt
Filed under: uncultured bacterium
Lineage: Bacteria
Description: bacterial SSU rRNA
Rfam family: Bacterial small subunit ribosomal RNA
Source: RNAcentral
CCUACGGGAGGCAGCAGUGAGGAAUAUUGGACAAUGGGCGCAAGCCUGAUCCAGCCAUGCCGCGUGCAGGAAGACGGUCCUAUGGAUUGUAAACUGCUUUUAUACAGGAAGAAACACACCCUCGUGAGGGAGCUUGACGGUACUGUAAGAAUAAGGAUCGGCUAACUCCGUGCCAGCAGCCGCGGUAAUACGGAGGAUCCAAGCGUUAUCCGGAAUCAUUGGGUUUAAAGGGUCCGUAGGCGGUUUAAUAAGUCAGUGGUGAAAUCUGGUCGCUCAACGAUCAAACGGCCAUUGAUACUGUUAGACUUGAAUUAUAAGGAAGUAACUAGAAUAUGUAGUGUAGCGGUGAAAUGCUUAGAUAUUACAUGGAAUACCAAUUGCGAAGGCAGGUUACUACUUAUGGAUUGACGCUGAUGGACGAAAGCGUGGGGAGCGAACAGGAUUAGAUACCCUGGUAGUCCACGCCGUAAACGAUGGAUACUAGCUGUUCGGAGCAAUCUGAGUGGCUAAGCGAAAGUGAUAAGUAUCCACCUGGGGAGUACGUUGCAAGAAUGAAACUCAAAUGAAUUGACGGCGNGAGAGAGACGACGGACGACGACGAGGGAGGAGG